RNAcentral lists this ribosomal RNA (253 nucleotides) under uncultured bacterium. RNAcentral describes it as "partial 16S ribosomal RNA". It matches the Rfam family "Bacterial small subunit ribosomal RNA", at positions 524 to 776 of the family's 1533-position model. The record is from RNAcentral.
UACGUAGGGGGCUAGCGUUGUCCGGAUUUAUUGGGCGUAAAGAGCGUGUAGGCGGCCAGGUAGGUCUGCUGUGAAAACUCGAGGCUCAACCUCGAGACGUCGGCGGAAACCAUCUGGCUAGAGUCCGGAAGAGGAGAGUGGAAUUCCUGGUGUAGCGGUGAAAUGCUUAGAUAUGACAUAGAACACCAAUUGCGAAGGCAGCUGGCUACACGAAUAUUGACACUGAUGCACGAAAGCGUGGGGAUCAAACAGG